UUUAUGAGCAGCCUGUGCUUGCUGCAGCCAUUUGAUGAAGGCAAAGGAGACAGAAACAGGAGUGAGAUGGGAACACACCGCCAACCCUGCGCUCCCCUAAAAUGGCGGUAUAGCAACAGGUGAGCCUUGUCUUCUCAUAACAUGGCCAAUGUAAGACAGUCUCGUUUAAGUCAUCCUGUCUUCAAGGGAGAGUUCAGACUAUUUGCUCUAUGACCAAUUUAUUUGAUUUUUGGCAGUUUCACAGCAUCCACAGAACUCUCUUCCAGUAUGACAUUUCAUACAUGGUGAGUAUCUUCUUAUCAGCUAUCUUCACUGUCCAGCUUUCACAACUAUACACAAAAAGCAGGUACAUACAGAUGUAUCAUGCAGGGUGAAUUCUCCCUAUUGCUAUUGCUUACCAUGAUUCCAUAGUAUUGAACUAUAGCAGUUAAAGUGGUGUCAAAUUGCAAUACUUUAACAAUAUAGAUCCACUCCCAAUCCCAUCUUUGGAAGAAAAAGACGAUCUAGCAGGACUCUAGAAGUACUCACUAUAGAAGGUGAGUUGCUGAAACCAUAGCUAGGAAGACAAGGGGAUGACAGCAGAAAGCUCCUUGAGCCUCCUUUGAACUCUCAAACUGGACAUUCAGAAAAAGCUCAGCAUUUACACUUUGAAUGUUGGGAUGCUUGUGUCUCAGCAUCCAGAGCAUUUGUAUUGAGACACACAUUUGCUAGAUAGAAAGGCUGCUACUUUCCGGUGUUUAGAAAAGAAAGGGAAGAGAAUCUAUAGAAUAUGUGUAUAUUGGGAGUACACUGAAAUCCAGCUCUGCUGGAAGCCUAGAUUUGGAUAUCUCAAGAAUGACAAACAGACUAUAUAACCAGCAAACAAACAGGAAGGAGGAGAGGUCGAGCAACAAGAAAUUAUGUGUAUAUAUUAAAUUGUAGUUUUGUAACAUACCUAGAGGAAAAUAUAUACUCUUAAAACACAACUAUUUCCAAGUUUUCCUUCCAGUGAACCACAUAUUAAUCUUGCUAUGUUUGAGAAUAAACAUUCCUGGAGUCUAGUAUGUAGUGAAAACUGUAACACUAUAAAUAUACUGUAGCAGCAUCUCCAAACCACAAAAAGCCUAACAAAUUUUAUUUCUUCAAAAUAAAACAGUUCCUACAAUUAUACCUUUUGCUGAUCCUUUGUUUUCAAACACAUGUCACUGUCUCCGGUUAUAAUGUUGGUGACUUCCUGUAUGCCCUUUCUGAUCCACUGAGUCAGGUUUACUUACAUGUUGUGCUAAAUGGAUUUUGCAGGAACCGAGCAACUGGCAGUCUUCAGCCAGGCUUGGAUUCUAUUAUGGGGCUUUAUCAUGGAAUGUACAAUCGUGGCUAUAAGGAUAUAACAGCAUUUAUUGUCCUGGAUAUAAGGAAUCUAAGACCCCAUCCACACUGCCAUAUAAUUGAAACUUCAUUACAUUCACAAUGUAGACUCAAAUAAUGCAGUUUAAUGCAGUAUCAAACUGCAUUGUAUGGCCAUGUAAAUGAGGCCAAAUACUGAUAGGUUUAAGUAUGAAGUGGAGAGUACUAGGCUCUCUGUUGCCUGCUACACUGGUCUCAGGAUUCCCAAAAGCAAGUAGCUCAUUUGCAUUCACACUCUGAACUAUUUAGUCUGUGCUUAGCUUUACUGAACUCUUCUUUAUAUUUACAAAGUUUGUACUUUUACCAGGGACUCUUAUUCUUGAGGUAGUGAAGGCAUAAUGUCUAGAGCAGAAGGCCUGGAGGCCAAAUCCAGCCCUCCAUGACAUUUUAUGUGGCCCUCUAAAUGCUGAACUACAACUUCUGUAUUCCUCAUUAUUAGAUAUCAUGAUUAGAACUGAUGGGAGUCGUGAUACAGUAACAUUGGGAAGGCUGCAGUUUGUUCUGUUCAGUUAGGGGAGUGGGGUUUGAAUUUAGAUACAAGGCUUGUGGAUAUGAUGUCUGGCACUUAAAUGUCCUUUAGCCUUUCCCCAACCUCAAAGCCACAAGUGCAAUUGGGUUGCAAGACUUAUCCCCAGUCUGCAUGGUGGAUAAUCAAAAGUGAUGGGAGUUGUUGUUCAAUAACAUCUGGGGACCCAAACGAGGUAAAAACCAAAGAACGCCAACCACGAUGUUAACUUUUUUUAGCUGGCCCAGAGUCUCUGCCCAUGGAUUCAACGGUCCCUGGAAAGCAACCAUAAAGCUGAUGUAUGCCUUGAUGAAAAUGAGAUUGACGCCCCUGGUCUAGAGGCUAAAAAAAGUUUAAGAUAUAUGAAAACUGAAAUAAGAAAAACUUGGAAUGAAAAACAGAAAUUCGAAAUGAAAUAUUUUUGACUUCCAGUUUUUAACAGAAAUGUACAUUUUGAGGUCCAAAGAGGCAAGUUUUUUUGAUAGACGCAUGUCUGUCCCAAGUACUGUAUAUGCUCGAGUAUAAGCCAAGUUUUUCAGCCCUUUUAGGACUGAAAACGCCUCCCUCGGCUUAUACUUGAGUGAGGGUGCUGGCCAGCUUAUAUUCGGGUCGCUUAUACUCAAGUAUAUACCGUAAUCAGAAUUGGACAGUCUUAUCUUAUUAAAGUCUUAUUAUUAUCUUAAAUUACAGUUUUAUGUAUUCAAAACCAUUUAACCUACUGAUACAUCCAUUAAUGUAAUUUUAUUGGUAUCUAUUAUUAUUUUUGAAAUUUACCAGAAGCUGCUGCAUUUCCCACCCUCAUCUUAUGCUUGAGUCAAUAGGUUUUCCCAGUUUUUUUUGUAGUAAAAUUAGGUGCCUUGGUUUAUAUUUGAGUCGGCUUAUACUCGAGUAUAUACAGUAGUUUGUUUACAAAAUCCAGAAGGCAGUCCUGCUUUUAAAUUUUUCCUAUGCAUGAAUUUUAAAAAAUCGCAUAACAGGCUUUUUCUGUUUUAUUCUUUCCUUUUUAGGACAGAAAGAUCACACCCACACAGAGCUUGUAAAAAGGACCUUUCUUACAACAGCUCCCACAAUCCCUAAAACAAUGUGGUACUUAUUCAGGACCUGUGCUGGCUGGAGAAUUCUGGGACUUACAGUCCAAAAAGUAAUGUUUCCAAGGGCAGACCAAGCAACAUGUCUUCAGUUCUGUCCCAGAGCUAACAGACCACUCAGCUAUCACAGACAUAGACAUCUGCAACUGGACAUGCAACUUUUCACAAUUGGACAUGUUACAGGAAGGCCUCCGUCCUCACAUAUUGUGCAUAGUGCAGAGAGCUGAUGCAUUGUACGGACAAAGCUGUAGAGCCUCUACUACCCGAACUGGGCCCCUCAAAGCACUGAGGCUGCCAAUUGCACUGGGCUUUGGACAGCAUCUCCUCCUUUGUUUCUCCGCUUUUAAUAAGUUAUUUUAAAAUGUGGUUUCUCUCAGAAAAUGAAUCAAUCAAUAAACAGAAAUAUGAGCUUA
This is a long non-coding RNA of Anolis carolinensis (green anole), 3389 nucleotides long. RefSeq lists it as uncharacterized. The transcript has 2 exons. Lineage: Eukaryota; Metazoa; Chordata; Lepidosauria; Squamata; Anolidae. The record is from RefSeq and is a predicted model, not a curated record.